AAUGAACGCUGGCGGCGUGCUUAACACAUGCAAGUCGAGCGGUAAGGCCCUUUCGGGGGUACACGAGCGGCGAACGGGUGAGUAACACGUGGGUGACCUGUCCUUAGCUCUGGGAUAAGCCUGGGAAACUGGGUCUAAUACCGGAUAUGACUCCAUGACGCAUGUUGUGGGGUGGAAAGCCUUGUGCGGCUAGGGAUGGGCCCGCGGCCUAUCAGCUUGUUGGUGGGGUGAUGGCCACCAAGGCGACGACGGGUAGCCGGCCUGAGAGGGCGACCGGCCACACUGGGACUGAGAUACGGCCCAGACUCCUACGGGAGGCAGCAGUGGGGAAUCUUGCGCAAUGGGCGAAAGCCUGACGCAGCGACGCCGCGUGAGGGAUGACGGCCUGU
This 389-nucleotide ribosomal RNA is filed under the name uncultured bacterium. Its description in RNAcentral is "bacterial SSU rRNA". It matches the Rfam family "Bacterial small subunit ribosomal RNA", at positions 28 to 419 of the family's 1533-position model. The record is from RNAcentral.